This 75-nucleotide transfer RNA is filed under the name Anaerolineae bacterium. RNAcentral describes it as "tRNA-Met". It matches the Rfam family "tRNA". From Rfam's summary of the family: Transfer RNA (tRNA) molecules are approximately 80 nucleotides in length. The record is from RNAcentral. RNAcentral also lists the same sequence under 1 other name. Lineage: Bacteria; Bacillati; Chloroflexota; Anaerolineae.
UGCGGGGUAGAGCAGAGGCAGCUCGUCGGGCUCAUAACCCGGAGGUCGCAGGUUCGAAUCCUGCCCCCGCGACCA